Molecule: ribosomal RNA, 446 nt
Filed under: Plebidonax deltoides
Lineage: Eukaryota; Metazoa; Mollusca; Bivalvia; Cardiida; Psammobiidae
Description: partial 16S ribosomal RNA
Rfam family: Bacterial large subunit ribosomal RNA
Source: RNAcentral
GGUCCGGCCUGCCCGGUGGGCAUGUCCUAAACGGCUGCAGCUAAAACUGUACUAAGGUAGCGCGAUAAAUUGUCCUUUAAUUGGGGGAAAGUAUGAAGGUCAGACGCAGAAAAACUGUAUAGAAACAUCAUAAAAACUUUACUUGUAGGUGAAAAGGCCUAAAAGGUUUUAUUAGACGAGAAGACCCCGUGGAGCUUAGCAAACUUUUGCCUAGGAGGCAAAAAUGAAUGUUUAGCCGGGGAAGACGGGAAGGGCUAAAGUGCCUUCUUUUAUGAGCAAAGAUCCGGAAUGUCCGGUAAGAGGAAGAUAGCUACCCCGGGGAUAACAGCGCAAUGCCCUAGUUAAGUCCAUAUUUAAUAGGGCGAUUGCGACCUCGAUGUUGAAUCAGAGAAUCUACUUGGUGCAGCAGCUAGGUAAGAGGGACUGUUCGUCCUUUUAUUCUCUAC